AUAAAAAAAAAAAAUGUGAAAAAAAAGUCAAUUCAAAAUUUUUCGCGUUUUUUGUUUUAUUUUUGGGGACAACUUUUCUUUGAUUUGGGAAAUUUAUUUAUAAAAGUGAGGCCUUUGUUACCAUUUAUAGAAAAUGAAAGCGAAAAAAAUCAAAAGAAUUUUUUUGGUUUUUUCUCUUUUAAAAUUUUUAAU
RNAcentral lists this non-coding RNA (192 nucleotides) under Rhodomonas sp. CCMP768. The record is from RNAcentral. Lineage: Eukaryota; Cryptophyceae; Pyrenomonadales; Pyrenomonadaceae.